This 253-nucleotide ribosomal RNA is filed under the name uncultured bacterium. RNAcentral describes it as "partial 16S ribosomal RNA". It matches the Rfam family "Bacterial small subunit ribosomal RNA", at positions 524 to 776 of the family's 1533-position model. The record is from RNAcentral.
GACGAACCGGACAAACGUUAUUCGGAAUUACUGGGCUUAAAGGGUGCGUAGGCGGCGUGGAAAGUGGGGUGUGAAAUCCCUCGGCUUAACCGAGGAACGGCGCUCCAAACUCCCACGCUGGAGGGAGACAGAGGUGAGCGGAACUGAGGGUGGAGCGGUGAAAUGCGUUGAUAUCCUCAGGAACACCGGUGGCGAAGGCGGCUCACUAGGUCUCUUCUGACGCUGAGGCACGAAAGCUAGGGGAGCGAACGGG